UACGAAGGGGGCUAGCGUUGUUCGGAAUUACUGGGCGUAAAGCGCGCGCAGGCGGUCUUCCAAGUCAGUGGUGAAAGCCCGGAGCUCAACUCCGGAACUGCCAUUGAAACUGUAAGACUUGAGGACGAGAGAGGUGAGUGGAAUUCCCAGUGUAGAGGUGAAAUUCGUAGAUAUUGGGAAGAACACCGGUGGCGAAGGCGGCUCACUGGCUCGUAUCUGACGCUCAGGCGCGACAGCGUGGGGAUCGAAACAGG
This 254-nucleotide ribosomal RNA is filed under the name uncultured bacterium. RNAcentral's name for it is "partial 16S ribosomal RNA". It matches the Rfam family "Bacterial small subunit ribosomal RNA", at positions 524 to 776 of the family's 1533-position model. The record is from RNAcentral.